This 222-nucleotide ribosomal RNA is filed under the name uncultured bacterium. RNAcentral's name for it is "partial 16S ribosomal RNA". It matches the Rfam family "Bacterial small subunit ribosomal RNA", at positions 524 to 776 of the family's 1533-position model. The record is from RNAcentral.
UACGUAAAAGACUAGUGUUAUUCAUCUUUAGUAGGUUUAAAGGGUACCUAGACGGUAUAAUUAGUCUUAAACAAGAAACGGUUAUGCUAGAGUUAUAUAUGAGAAGGGGAGUAUUUAUGGAGUAGAGUUGAAAUUCUUUGAUCCCAUAACGACUGGUAGCGGCGAAAGCAACCUUUUAUCUAAUAACUGACGUUGAGGGACGAAGGCUCGGUCACGAACAGG